Caenorhabditis elegans is the source of this 142-nucleotide non-coding RNA. The record is from Ensembl. Lineage: Eukaryota; Metazoa; Nematoda; Chromadorea; Rhabditida; Rhabditidae.
ACAAACACAAAGUGGGGGCCAUCCCCCUGUGUAUUCAAAUCCAAUAUGAAAAGUUGCUGGUUGACUGUUUGCCGAGCACUUGGUAAAAGAUGCGCGAACACUAUUGCACUGUGAACAAACUGAUGAUGAUUGGGCAACGUUU